GACGAACGCUGGCGGCGUGCUUAACACAUGCAAGUCGAGCGGUAAGGCCCUUUCGGGGGUACGACGAGCGGCGAACGGGUGAGUAACACGUGGGUGACCUGCCCUUACGCUCUGGGAUAAGCCUGGGAAACUGGGUCUAAUACCGGAUAUGACUCCAUGACGCAUGUUGUGGGGUGGAAAGCCUUGUGCGGCUAGGGAUGGGCCCGCGGCCUAUCAGCUUGUUGGUGGGGUGAUGGCCACCAAGGCGACGACGGGUAGCCGGCCUGAGAGGGCGACCGGCCACACUGGGACUGAGACACGGCCCAGACUCCUACGGGAGGGCAGCAGUGGGGAAUCUUGCGCAAUGGGCGAAAGCCUGACGCAGCGACGCCGCGUGAGGGAUGACCGGCC
Molecule: ribosomal RNA, 390 nt
Filed under: uncultured bacterium
Lineage: Bacteria
Description: bacterial SSU rRNA
Rfam family: Bacterial small subunit ribosomal RNA
Source: RNAcentral